CAUGCAAGUCGAACGCAGCACGCGAGUGCUGAGUGGCGGACGGGUGAGUAACGCGUAGGAAUCUGCCCGGUUGCGGGGGAUAACCUGGGGAAACCCAGGGUAAUACCGCAUAAUCUCUGCGGAGGAAAGUGGGGGACCGCAAGGCCUCACGCGACCGGAGGAGCCUACGUCGGAUUAGCUAGUUGGUAAGGUAACGGCCUACUAAGGCGACGAUCCGUAGCUGGUCUGAGAGGGUGUACGGCCUCACUGGGACUGAGACACGGCCCAGACUCCUACGGGAGGCAGCAGUGGGGAAUCUUGCGCAAUGGGCGAAAGCCUGACGCAGCGACGCCGCGUGGAGGAUGAAGGCCUUCGGGUUGUAAACUCCUGUCAGAGGAGAAGAAUCUCCGAGCAAUCGGAGUGGACGG
Molecule: ribosomal RNA, 407 nt
Filed under: uncultured bacterium
Lineage: Bacteria
Description: bacterial SSU rRNA
Rfam family: Bacterial small subunit ribosomal RNA
Source: RNAcentral